GCCGAAGUGGUGAAAUUGGUAGACACGCCAUCUUGAGGGGGUGGUGAGCGUUCGCUCGUGGAGGUUCGAGUCCUCUCUUCGGCACCA
RNAcentral lists this transfer RNA (87 nucleotides) under Gammaproteobacteria bacterium. Its description in RNAcentral is "tRNA-Leu". It matches the Rfam family "tRNA". Rfam says of the family: Transfer RNA (tRNA) molecules are approximately 80 nucleotides in length. Their secondary structure includes four short double-helical elements and three loops (D, anti-codon, and T loops). Further hydrogen bonds mediate the characteristic L-shaped molecular structure. tRNAs have two regions of fundamental functional importance: the anti-codon, which is responsible for specific mRNA codon recognition, and the 3' end, to which the tRNAs corresponding amino acid is attached (by aminoacyl-tRNA synthetases). tRNAs cope with the degeneracy of the genetic code in two manners: having more than one tRNA (with a specific anti-codon) for a particular amino acid; and 'wobble' base-pairing, i.e. permitting non-standard base-pairing at the 3rd anti-codon position. The record is from RNAcentral. Lineage: Bacteria; Pseudomonadati; Pseudomonadota; Gammaproteobacteria.